UCCUAGAAUCGCCCUGAUGAGGACCGGAUGAGCUGCCCGCUCUUGCCUCCGGGGAGCCGCCCCGCCUCUUGAAGUCGGAAAAAGUCAGGACUCGGGACGCUCUCCGACAGGAAGCGUCCGUCAAGAGUGGCCCAAAGAGUCCCUGGUCAUCUAUCAGAACCGAGCUGCCCUCGUGGAACACCCCCUACCCCAAAUCUUCUCCUGCUCUCAAGCACCUACCGGAUCGACCCUAACCCUUACAGCGCUAGAAAAUGUCGAAAGCAGCUGCCGUGAGCCUCUGCACUGUCUAUUUGUUCUUUCUGCUCUUAUGCACACCUAUUUCGUCUAAUCACUGUCAAUAGUUUGGGGCCUGGAUGGCUGCGAACGGAAAAGGAACGAGGAUCCCGUUCCACAGAGGAGAACUUUUUCGAGAAAUCAGGGCACGUCAAAUGAAAAACUGAGAAUUCUCCUCUCCCACCUAUGUUUUCCUUUGUCUGCCUCUCUUCAUUACGGUAUUACAGUAAAUAUCUGUGACAGAGAAA
Molecule: long non-coding RNA, 521 nt
Organism: Ornithorhynchus anatinus (platypus)
Lineage: Eukaryota; Metazoa; Chordata; Mammalia; Monotremata; Ornithorhynchidae
Exons: 2
Source: RefSeq, a predicted model, not a curated record